CGGUGCAAUCAUACCAGCACUAAUGCACCGGAUCCCAUCAAAAUUCUGCAGUUAAGCGUGCUUGGGCGCGGGUAGUACUAAGAUGGGUGACCUCCUAGGAAGUCCUCGUAUUGCACCCC
Beta vulgaris subsp. vulgaris (sugar beet) is the source of this 119-nucleotide non-coding RNA. Lineage: Eukaryota; Viridiplantae; Streptophyta; Magnoliopsida; Caryophyllales; Amaranthaceae. The record is from Rfam.